GCCUACAGUAGCUUAUUAUUUAAAGCGUCGGUCUUGUAAACCGAAACAGGGCACACUAACCCCUUAGGCG
Molecule: transfer RNA, 70 nt
Filed under: Uroplatus ebenaui
Lineage: Eukaryota; Metazoa; Chordata; Lepidosauria; Squamata; Gekkonidae
Description: tRNA-Thr
Source: RNAcentral